Molecule: ribosomal RNA, 253 nt
Filed under: uncultured bacterium
Lineage: Bacteria
Description: partial 16S ribosomal RNA
Rfam family: Bacterial small subunit ribosomal RNA
Source: RNAcentral
UACGUAGGGUCCGAGCGUUGUCCGGAAUUACUGGGCGUAAAGAGCUCGUAGGUGGUUUGUCGCGUUGUCCGUGAAAACUCACAGCUCAACUGUGGGCGUGCGGGCGAUACGGGCAGACUAGAGUGCGGUAGGGGAGACUGGAAUUCCUGGUGUAGCGGUGAAAUGCGCAGAUAUCAGGAGGAACACCGGUGGCGAAGGCGGGUCUCUGGACAGUUCCUGACGCUGAGGCACGAAGGCCAGGGGAGCAAACGGG